UACGUAGGGGGCUAGCGUUGUCCGGAAUCAUUGGGCGUAAAGCGCGCGUAGGCGGCCCGGUAAGUCCGCUGUGAAAGUCAAAGGCUCAACCUUUGAAUGUCAGCGGAUACUGCCGGGCUAGAGUCCGGAAGAGGCGAGUGGAACUCCUGGUGUAGCGGUGGAAUGCGCAGAUAUCAGGAAGAACACCUAUGGCGAAGGCAGCUCUCUGGUACGUGACUGACGCUGAGACGCGAAAGCGUGGGGAGCGAACAGG
This 253-nucleotide ribosomal RNA is filed under the name uncultured bacterium. RNAcentral describes it as "partial 16S ribosomal RNA". It matches the Rfam family "Bacterial small subunit ribosomal RNA", at positions 524 to 776 of the family's 1533-position model. The record is from RNAcentral.